This 429-nucleotide ribosomal RNA is filed under the name Chloroflexota bacterium. Its description in RNAcentral is "Chloroflexi bacterium partial 16S ribosomal RNA". It matches the Rfam family "Bacterial small subunit ribosomal RNA", at positions 355 to 776 of the family's 1533-position model. Lineage: Bacteria; Bacillati; Chloroflexota. The record is from RNAcentral. RNAcentral also lists the same sequence under 1 other name.
UGGGGAAUAUUGCACAAUGGGCGCAAGCCUGAUGCAGCCAAGCCGCGUGUAUGAAGAAGGCCUUCGGGUUGUAAAGUACUUUCAGCGGGGAGGAAGGGAGUAAAGUUAAUACCUUUGCUCAUUGACGUUACCCGCAGAAGAAGCACCGGCUAACUCCGUGCCAGCAGCCGCGGUAAUACGGAGGGUGCAAGCGUUAAUCGGAAUUACUGGGCGUAAAGCGCACGCAGGCGGUUUGUUAAGUCAGAUGUGAAAUCCCCGGGCUCAACCUGGGAACUGCAUCUGAUACUGGCAAGCUUGAGUCUCGUAGAGGGGGGUAGAAUUCCAGGUGUAGCGGUGAAAUGCGUAGAGAUCUGGAGGAAUACCGGUGGCGAAGGCGGCCCCCUGGACGAAGACUGACGCUCAGGUGCGAAAGCGUGGGGAGCAAACAGG